GAUCAAGCCACCAAGGGCGCACGGUGGAUGUCUUGGCGUCGAGAGGCGAUGAAGGACGUGGGAGCCUGCGAUAAGCC
RNAcentral lists this ribosomal RNA (77 nucleotides) under Planctomycetota bacterium. RNAcentral's name for it is "Planctomycetes bacterium partial 23S ribosomal RNA". It matches the Rfam family "Bacterial large subunit ribosomal RNA", at positions 1 to 77 of the family's 2925-position model. Lineage: Bacteria; Pseudomonadati; Planctomycetota. The record is from RNAcentral.